CUCAGGGUCACCAACAACCUGCUGAUGGCAGCUGAUGCAGGCACUCUGCGUCUCCGGAUCCUCCUGGACUUGAGCGCAGCGUUUGACGCUUUCGACCACCCCAUCCUCCUGGAAUGCCUCCGGGACACCAUCGGAAUAUCUGGACCACCAGCUCUAAGUUAGUUCCACUCCUACCACUCAGACAGGAUUGGCAAGAUUCUUGUUUUUAGAAUUUACGGAUAGCCACGGUCACACUCAAGACAUAAUUUACAACAAAGAAUGUGUUUAGUGAGUUCGCCAGAUCAGAGGACGUAGGGAUGAACUGGGAUGUUCUCUUGAUAAGUGCGUGAAUGGGAACAUUUUCUUAUCCUGCUAAGCAUUCAAAAGCAUUGGGUGUCAGGGAAAAUGUAUGAAGUAAAAAUUACAUUCUUUUCUUUAGGAAUGUUGUGGAGUAAAAGUAAAAGUUGUCAAAAAAUAGUAAAGUACAGAUAACAAAAAAGUUAUACUUAAAGUUAUUUACACCACUGCCCAGCUGUCAGUAAAAACUGCCCCAAGUCCCUAUGAUGCAUGUGCCGCCUGAACACCUGCCUUGAGGAGAUAAAGGCAUGGAUGAAGCAACUGAACAGCAGCAAAACCGAGGCCUUACUCGUUGGCAACCCCUACCAGGUAACUUGUCAAUAACACACCUCCAAUCUGGGUGUAAAGCUUGAUUCCUCACUGACCUUUGACAACCACAUCAAACAACUGUGUAAAGCAUAAUUCUAUCACCUCAAGAACAUUGCCAAACUCCAUCCCACCAACACUCAGUCUGAUGCAGAGAAGCUCAACCAUGCCUUUAUCUCCUCAAGGCUGGACUAUUGCAACGCACUCAUCGGGAUCCCUGGCAGGAGUCUCCAGAAGCUCCAAUACAUCUAGAACAACACUGCCAGAAUCCUGAUGAGAGUGCGGAAACACCAUCACAUCACCUCCAUAGUGGCAUCUCUGCACUGGCUCCAAGUCUCAUUUCAGAUUGAAAUCAAAACCCUCAUGCUGACUGUCCAGUCUAAUUAUGGCAAUGCCCCUCCUUAUCUAAAAAAAACUGCUCUCCCCCCAAUAACCCCACCCUCGGGUCAAGUGAUAGCCUGCUCCUCCAAGCCCUCAGGACUAAGCUCCGCUCCUUUGGGGACCUUUCUAUUAUAGCUGUGCUUCUUGGUGUCCUUGUAGCGUCUGCUGUGUUCUUUGUGUCAGUUGCCAUGUCUAGUGUCAAUUAUUACUUUUUUUGAUCAGAUUAUUCUGUAAAAUGAAAAUAAUUAUUAUUACUUGUAUUCCGUGUGAGCGUUCAUGCUCCAAAAUGGACUGCUAGGUUGUUUGUUCUGUGCAGCAAGCCGAUCAGAGCUUGAUGGCAUUAUGUCAAAUAGUGUUUACACAAAGUAGGACUGCUGUAUUUGGACAACACUAAAACUGCGGAGUGGGAAUACUGAAGGGGUGUUCUGUGUAGACCAUUUCAAAUUCUGGCAAUGAGUGUACAAACAGGAAUUUACACAAAACACUACACGUGUACAAAUAGACACUGGAAUUAUCACAAAAGCAAGCCAAUAUACGUGUCCAAGCUAAACCCCACAGCUAUUCAUAACACAACUAGAAGCUACAGUAAAUGGUGACGUACUAGUCUCAUAUUUGAAUGAGCUGAUUGCAUGUAGUUGUAAAUGUCACUAUGUUCAAUGCAAAUUCUGACCGUCUGGCGAUGAUAGUAACUUGCAUAUGUGGUGGAGGGGAGAUAUCGCGUGUACGUCCCAAAUGGUACCCUAUUCCCUAUAUAGUGCACUAGUUCUGACCAGAGCCCUAUGCACUACAUAGAUAAUAGGGUGCCAUUUGGGAAGUAGCCCAACACAUGCCGUAAAAAUGUGUCAUAGAGCACCAGAGAGAAUGUGAACAUAAUUUCAGUGGCUGCUAUGCUACAUUAGAGGAACUCGCCUGUUAGGCACAGAGCACAGCCCAGAGCAGAGCACUAAUGGCAGGACUCCCAAACCAGGGACCAUGCUGAGGAGGAUUCAGCUUAUCUCUGGCAGUAACCAUGGCGAUGCAAGCCAUACAGAACAUCCUCGUUAUCAGGGUCCUAGAGGACUCGCUGGAGUGUGGUAUUUUCGUGGUGACCGUCCGCUGUGAAGACCGCCUCCUGCUGGACUUCUGGUGGCGGAAGCCCCCAUUUUGGAACAGCCAGGUGGAACAGACAGACAUCCAGUGCCAGGCUGGACCAGAGCCAAACCAGGGGAUGGAUUUUGUUCUGCGGGCCCUUCACAGAGCACCUAACCUCCCCAACAUGCACUACUGGGGCCCCUUUGUUGUCGGCCUGUGCCUGGACGCGCUGCCCUUCCGUUUUCGCCUCCCUCCCGAAGCACUCAGCGGCGGAAUACAGGAAGUGAUGCAAGAAUGUGGCGAGCUGGUGCUCAUACGCUGAGGGGGCUCUGAACUGUAUUGGUGGCUUUAGCAUAUCAUUCUUUCCGACUGACUUUACUGGGCAGCUCUGAAUCAGACAUGGCCGAGUCAGACAGUCAGUCAGUUCCAGAUGGAAGCCCAGCCCACCCUGGUUCCUCUGGACUGCACUGUGGUCUCCCACCACCCCACGCCCACUCAGUUAUAUCCACCAUCCACCCAUUCAUCCCUCCCUCCUUCCCUGUUCCUUUGCCUGCUCUGUGUCUGCCCAGAGACAGCCACCACCACGACAUCACUGGCCUGACCAGAGACGAUAGUGGGAAGAGCCGAACCGCUUUAUAACGAAGGAGUCACCACUUCAAAAGGCAGUGUGGUGAAGCCGGAUGAAAGAUGAAAGAACAGACACUCUGGUUUAAGACUGGGGAAACAAAGCCUGAGCAAACAAGGCUAGUAGAGGGAGAGGAGGAGAGGAGGAGGAGAGGGGGGAACAAAAGAGAAAAUGGCACCCUUGCCUUGCCCAAAUUAGACUGACCUCCUUUCUAGGGAAAAGCUGGUCCUCAAAGGCCGAUAUCACACAUAGUUACUCCAAGAGAACAUUUUAUGACAAGCCAUAGGCAGUUAAAACAGAAAAUGAUUUCUAUUUGGAAAGCGCAAACAAAAUAUUACUCAAGCGUUUCACCCACCACCCCAGCCCUGUAGCCCCGACCAGAUACUUACCAUCAUAGGUAAAGUAGGCCCCGUCCUUGAAGACUACAACCGAUGGAAGCUCUGGCAAAGUCACCGACUGGAUGGUGAAAACACAUAAAAUACAUAAUUCAAAGUGAAUUCCAUAAAUCAUCCCUUACUUUCUUAAUUUAUGGGCACCUGAACCAUACGAGACAGCAGUCCUAUUGGCGGCAUGCCAUCCUAGCAAACUGUGGACCUCAUGCCAAAUAAACCGGCAAAAGCAGCAUGCUCACAGGCUUCACUGUCCCUAUGGCAUUUACCAUAUCAUACUGCAUGGAAAAUGUCACUGUAGCACUGCUGGACUUUCACUUGUGAGUGCUGCCUUAUAGCUAGCUAUAUGACUAAAACAAUUAUCAAAAUCACAAUAAGUCCCUAAUUAGAAAAGUGAUGAGAAUGAAACUUUCAAAUGCGCCGUUGAUAAGUUCUCCUCGCUGAAAUGUUAUGUGGGAAAACAACCUAACUGAAGAGCCAGGGGACAUGCCACAUUCUCAAGGCCGUUACCUCUGGUAAGACGUCUUCAGACGCAGAGAAGAAGUAUGUAUACACAAUCAGCUCCGCAGCCAUGUCGAUAUACUUCUCCUGCAAACGAGAAAUCAACACAAGUUACAAGCUUCUUCUUCUCUGAGAAUUGCCCUCUGUGUUAACUUGGUAUGGGACAUUUAUCAAGGUUGUCUAGCACGUUGUAUAAAUGGGCCUUUCCUCACUCAGAGCGCUUGGCAGCAGCAGUGUGAGCAGAAGCUUUAUGAUCCAAUCAAUAAAUUCUAGCUAAAUGCCGUGACAGCUUUCAGUGGCAUUGAUUGGAUGAUAAGAUAACAUUUCAGACCCAGAGAAGUGAUAAACAUAUGGGGGGAAUGCAUAUCGAAUUACUCAGAAAGAACAUAAGUUAAAUCAGGAUGGUAGCUAACAAAUACGUCAAUGAAGUAUGGAUCGUCUUACUAUAUAAUGUGUACUUUGUGAGAGCUCCAACCAAGAAUUCCUAUUUCUUUUUACACCUCUGAAGGGCAAAUAACCUACUUGAACUGACUGGAAUAAAUGUAUCGUUAACAAAUUCCCAUGACCACACUGCGAGAAUAUGAAUCCUACUAUGAUUUCAUGCACUGAAUUACUUAACAUAAAUGUUUGUUGAUUUGUAUAUUUUUCACUCAAAAUGUCUGAAGGUAUUGGGUCAAAACAACUUCACACUUAUUAUAUUGCUACUUCCAGAGCCCCUACCUUGAGUGGAGACUCCCCGCCGAAGUACACAAAGAGCACGUCAUGUCUCUUCAUCAUAUGGUCAAACAUCUGUUUGCUUGGAAGUGCUCGGACUGCUGGCCUGAAGAGGACAGAAGACAUGCACACAAACAGAAACACUAUUGUUUUGGAUUAUAAGAUAAAUGUGUUUUCCAUUAGUUAAAUUGCCUGAAGUUGAGAAAACGUUUUCAAACAAAGUGAAACAGAGAGGAACUAACCUGAACAUGUCACAUUAGAACACCAAUUUAUUUAUUGCUACGGACUGCCUACUGAACACGGCCAUGUUUUUUUCUAGUUGAACUCUAGUUUAACGUGUAUGGUUCUGGUGCCAUCUAGUGAACAUCGCAGAAGCAUGCAGUCAGAGGUGAAAACCCAGCCAGGUCUUUGACCCACCAUUCCGACUGAUCAGUCAUCACGGGUCUAGUUUGGAUUUUCCCCUGAGAGGAAUCUCCUCAGGCUAAACUAUUAACUGGCAUUUGAAGAGACUUUGAAGGGCUAGGGUGGAAAUUCACUGAAUUCUACGGGGGGAGAUAAGACAUUUGUUUGAUAGAGUUCCAUGUGUAGCCCAUACAGCAUAAUGUCCUGUUUAGGUGACCACAGUAUUCAGGGUAUGUAUAGCCAUUUUUGUCCAAUCAUAUUUAUUCAUAUAGACUUACAAAAGUGAUUAUGUACUCAUUUAUAUCACCCAUAAGAGAUGUUGAAGCAACAGCGCAUAUGGUAAGAGACCUAUGACUUACCCUGCUACCCUGUUGGCGAAUUCUACGAUGUCAUCCUUUGUCCUUGGCCCCUUGUAAUUAUAGGCAAGAUCACCCUUUAGCCUGAGAAAGGAGAGUGAGUGUGGCGGGGAGAAAGCGAUUGAAUAACACCAAGAAAAAGACCAUGAAUUUCCUUCUUUAUGCCAGUCCUUUUGUGAGGAGAAAUGGACAGAAUGGUACAUUUGCAUGAGAGAAAAACAAGAUAAAAGCCUUUCAUUUGGCCCUUUAAUUGUUACGCUCGAUAUCUAGUGCUUGUAUGUGUGCAUUCUGACAACCCACUCUGGGGUUGCUCUUUGUAGUGCUGUGAAAAGGCACGAUAACAAUGCCAAAGCUAAAAGAGAUUACACUUCUCCAGCUAGUGUGAGUCAAAUCCAAAACUACUCAAACCAAAAGGCAGGUCCAUGGGUCAAAGCGAUCCCUUUACCCAGAGGUCAGGGCUGUAUGUAUCAAGCGUCUCAGAGUAGGAGUGCUGAUUUCAGAUCAGUUUUGCCUUUAGAUCACAACUAAUAACAUUACAUGGACAGGGGUAAACCUGAUCCAAGAUCAGCACUCCCACUCAGAGAUACUUACACUUUCAGCCCCAGAAUAUCUCUAUUUGAUCAGCGUUUUGGAUAAGCGUCAUCCAAUUUCCAAUAGCAGUACAAGAGAAAACAAGGGCCCUCUUCUCUUUCAUUAUAGAGUUACAUCAACCACAACACUCCUAGGAUCAGACCCCAAAAGACCUGACAAAUACAUCCAGGAGUGUUUGCUAGGGAUACGCCAGUACACAAGGCUAUUUGGAUCUAUUCUAAUGAACUCCGGGAGAGAUGGCGUCUCAGGUCUGUCUCUAUAUUUCUCUCCGGGGGAUACUACCUAGUGUAGUCCCCUGAGAAUAUUUCAUCACUCGCUUGGUUUAAUGUGAUGAUUGCCCCCACUGUGAUCAUCUAACAGAGUUAUCAUGUUUUCUCAAACAGAACCUGAGUGUCCUACAGAAGCCUCAAAUAAAUGAAUAAAAGAUUAUACUGUGUUGUCUGAA
Salmo salar (Atlantic salmon) is the source of this 6117-nucleotide non-coding RNA. The record is from RefSeq and is a predicted model, not a curated record. Lineage: Eukaryota; Metazoa; Chordata; Actinopteri; Salmoniformes; Salmonidae.